GAACGCUGGCGGCGUGCUUAACACAUGCAAGUCGAAACGCGAAAGGGACUUCGGUCCUGAGUAAAGUGGCGCACGGGUGAGUAACGCGUGGAUAAUCUGCCCUUAUGAUCGGGAUAACAGUUGGAAACGGCUGCUAAUACCGGAUACGCUCAAAGUGAACUUUUUGAGGAAAGAUGGCCUCUGCUUGCAUGCUAUCACGUAAGGAUGAGUCCGCGUCCCAUUAGCUUGUUGGCGGGUAACGGCCCACCAAGGCAACGAUGGGUAGCCGAUUUGAGAGGAUGAUCGGCCACACUGGAACUGAAACACGGUCCAGACUCCUACGGGAGGCAGCAGUGGGGAAUAUUGCGCAAUGGGCGAAAGCCUGACGCAGCGACGCCGCGUGAGGGAUGGAAAGGUUUUCGGAUCGUAAACCUCUGUCAGAAGGGAAGAAACUACGUUGUGCUAAUCAGCAGCGUACUGACGGUACCUUCAAAGGAAGCACCGGCUAACUCCGUGCCAGCAGCUGC
Molecule: ribosomal RNA, 506 nt
Filed under: uncultured bacterium
Lineage: Bacteria
Description: bacterial SSU rRNA
Rfam family: Bacterial small subunit ribosomal RNA
Source: RNAcentral